CGGGAUUUACAUCAGCAGAGAACAAUUAAUUCACAUUUGAGAAAGAAAUUAGUUUUGAAAAAAGAAUAAUUUGAAGUCACUCAUACAUCCUGUGGCACUGGAGGGGGAGUCUGGAGGUUGGAAGGCCAUAGCAGAGAGCUGGAUGGGAAGUGGAGCAGCCAGGACUUGAACCGGUGCCCAUAUGGGAUGCCAGCACUUCAAGCAGCAGCUUUACCUGCUAUACCACAGCACCAGCCCUGCAGCCAAGACUUGAACCAUUGUUCAUCUUAACCUGCUGAGCUCCAUCACUGGCCCUGAGAUUUUCAUCUGUCAGUAAGAAGACUGAGAUGUAUGGCUGCUAUUUUGUUCCUGAGAUGCAUUCGACCUCGGUUCCCAGGCCUUUCUGGAAAUUCUGUGUGGCAAAUUUCCUUUAAUAAAUCAUUUUCUGCUUAAAUUAACUUGACUGGAUUCUGCUUUCUCUAACUAAAAUUUGUUAGCUAGGUGGAAUAGCUUCUAACACAAUCCUAGUGAUACAACAAAGUACUUCAACAGAUUCACUACUAAGAAGAAACUUGAACU
Non-coding RNA from Oryctolagus cuniculus (rabbit), 558 nucleotides. Lineage: Eukaryota; Metazoa; Chordata; Mammalia; Lagomorpha; Leporidae. The record is from RefSeq and is a predicted model, not a curated record.